This 606-nucleotide ribosomal RNA is filed under the name Triticum aestivum (bread wheat). RNAcentral describes it as "partial small subunit ribosomal RNA". The record is from RNAcentral. Lineage: Eukaryota; Viridiplantae; Streptophyta; Magnoliopsida; Poales; Poaceae.
AUGUAUGUUCGCAACUUCGCUCGUCGGCUACACAAGUGCAAGACUCCAGCUCUAUUAUUCAAGCUGGACAUCAAAAAGGCUUUUGACUCAGUCCGAUGGGAGUAUGUCUUGGAUCUCAUGCAACGCAUGGGGUUCCCUGAUAAAUUCAGAAAUUGGAUUGCGGCAUUGCUUUCGUCCUCGUCCUCGCUCUUCCUCCUCAAGAGCCUGCCUGGCCCCCCCAUCAGGCAUGGACGUGGUUUUCGCCAAGGAGACCCCAUCUCGCCUCUGCUCUUCAUGCUCGCAAUUGACCUGUUGCACAAGAUCCUCGACUUGGCUACGCGCAAGGGAAUCAUUCAUAAGAUUUGUGGCCGAGGUACAAUGGUCAGAACCUCCCUCUAUGCGGAUGACGCUGCCGUGUUCAUGGCGCCAAUUAAGAGUGAUAUUGACAACCUUGCAACCAUCUUAAAAGGCUUUGGAGACGUCACGGGCCUUUGCACCAACUUCCACAAAAGCUUUGUCGUUCCCAUUCGAUGCGCCAACCUUGAUCUUGUGAGCAUUCUCAGCAGCAUCCCGGCGACCAGGGCGUUUUUCCCUAUCAAAUACUUGGGCCUCCCGGUCUCGGUUUAG